GACGAAGGAUGCAAGCGUUAUCCGGAUUCAUUGGGUUUAAAGGGUGCGUAGGUGGCCUUAUAAGUCAGUGGUGAAAUCUCGCAGCUUAACUGCGAAAUUGCCAUUGAUACUGUAGGGCUUGAGUACAGUUGCUGUGGGCGGAAUAUGACAUGUAGUGGUGAAAUGCAUAGAGAUGUCAUAGAACACCGAUUGCGAAGGCAGCUUACAAAACUGUAACUGACACUGAGGCUCGAAAGUGCGGGGAGCAAACAGG
This 253-nucleotide ribosomal RNA is filed under the name uncultured bacterium. RNAcentral's name for it is "partial 16S ribosomal RNA". It matches the Rfam family "Bacterial small subunit ribosomal RNA", at positions 524 to 776 of the family's 1533-position model. The record is from RNAcentral.